This 225-nucleotide long non-coding RNA is filed under the name Homo sapiens (human). RNAcentral describes it as "HSALNT0176680". The record is from RNAcentral. Lineage: Eukaryota; Metazoa; Chordata; Mammalia; Primates; Hominidae.
GGAAGAUGUGGUUGCACUGUUUGCGGAUGUAGGCCCGGAGACCCAGGAACUUGCCAUAGACCCGGUGCAGGAUGGUCUUGAGACAGGGUCUCGCUCUGUUGCCCAAGCUGGAGCGCAGUGGUACAAUCUCGACUCACUGCAACCUCAACCUCCCAGGCAGGCUCAAGCGAUCCUCCCACCUCAGCCUUCUGAGUAGCUGGACUACAGUAGCACACCACUAUGCCC